AUGAACUUGUCACCAUUUAGCCCUCUACAUAUUCCAAUCAUGCCAGGGGCGUAGUGCAGGCCACACCUGGUCUUUCUCUUAUACAUAACAUAACAUACAUAACCAAUGGUGCCGGGGGCGUAGUGCAGGCCACAUCCGGUCUUUCUCUUACAUAGUGCAAGGGGCGUAGUGCAGGCCACACCUGGACUUCCAUAUCAUAUCAUCACGUCAUAACAUAUGAGGGCUAAUGGAUCAUUCAACGUUCAUCCACAUCAACAACAUAUUAUGCAAUGCAACAUAUUCAUGAUUUCUAAUGCAAACAACC
RNAcentral lists this long non-coding RNA (304 nucleotides) under Manihot esculenta (cassava). RNAcentral's name for it is "long non-coding RNA (MESC_LNC012357)". Lineage: Eukaryota; Viridiplantae; Streptophyta; Magnoliopsida; Malpighiales; Euphorbiaceae. The record is from RNAcentral.